This is a long non-coding RNA of Sander lucioperca (pikeperch), 84 nucleotides long. RefSeq lists it as uncharacterized. NCBI's taxonomy places the organism in Eukaryota, Metazoa, Chordata, Actinopteri, Perciformes, Percidae. The transcript has 3 exons. The record is from RefSeq and is a predicted model, not a curated record.
AGUAAAUAGUUGUUUAGUCGUUUCAUCGACAUCCUCUACUGCCACCCAAGAGAACUCCUUCUUCCAGGACGCUUGAAAAUCUCU